This 465-nucleotide ribosomal RNA is filed under the name Vreelandella stevensii. RNAcentral describes it as "partial 16S ribosomal RNA". It matches the Rfam family "Bacterial small subunit ribosomal RNA", at positions 338 to 795 of the family's 1533-position model. The record is from RNAcentral. Lineage: Bacteria; Pseudomonadati; Pseudomonadota; Gammaproteobacteria; Oceanospirillales; Halomonadaceae.
CCUACGGGGUGCUGCAGUGGGGAAUAUUGGACAAUGGGCGAAAGCCUGAUCCAGCCAUGCCGCGUGUGUGAAGAAGGCCUUCGGGUUGUAAAGCACUUUCAGUGGGGAAGAAAGCCUUGGGGCUAAUACCCUCGAGGAAGGACAUCACCCACAGAAGAAGCACCGGCUAACUCCGUGCCAGCAGCCGCGGUAAUACGGAGGGUGCGAGCGUUAAUCGGAAUUACUGGGCGUAAAGCGCGCGUAGGCGGUCUGAUAAGCCGGUUGUGAAAGCCCCGGGCUCAACCUGGGAACGGCAUCCGGAACUGUCAGGCUAGAGUGCAGGAGAGGAAGGUAGAAUUCCCGGUGUAGAGGUGAAAUGCGUAGAGAUCGGGAGGAAUACCAGUGGCGAAGGCGGCCUUCUGGACUGACACUGACGCUGAGGUGCGAAAGCGUGGGUAGCAAACAGGAUUAGAUACCCGUGUAGUC